GAUGAACGCUGGCGGCGUGCCUAAUACAUGCAAGUCGAGCGAACAGACCAGGAGCUUGCUCCUCUGACGUUAGCCGCGGACGGGUGAGUCACACGUGGAUAACCUACCUAUCAGACUGGGAUAACUUCGGGACACCGGCGCUAAUACCGGAUAAUAUAUUGAACCGCAUUGUUCAAUAGUGAAAUACGGUUUUUCUGUCACUUCUCGAUGGUUCCGCGCCGCAUUAGCUAGUUGGUAAGGUAACGGCUUACCAAGGCAACGAAGCGUAGCCGACCUGAGCGGGUGAUCGGCCACACUGGAAGGGAGACACGGUCCAGACUCCUACGGGAGGCAGCAGUAGGGAAUCGUCCGCAAUGGGCGGAAGCCUGACGGAGCAACGCCGAGUGAGUGAUGAAGGUCUUCGGAGCGGAAAACUCUGUUAUUAGGGAAGAACAAAUGUGUAAGUAACUAUGCACGUCUUGACGGUACCUAAUCAGAAAGCCACGGCUAACUACGUG
This 497-nucleotide ribosomal RNA is filed under the name uncultured bacterium. Its description in RNAcentral is "partial 16S ribosomal RNA". It matches the Rfam family "Bacterial small subunit ribosomal RNA", at positions 28 to 507 of the family's 1533-position model. The record is from RNAcentral.